GGCCUUGACAUACUAAGAACUUUCCAGAGAUGGAUUGGUGCCUUCGGGAACUUAGAUACAGGUGCUGCAUGGCUGUCGUCAGCUCGUGUCGUGAGAUGUUGGGUUAAGUUCCGCAACGAGCGCAACCUUUUCCUAUUUGCCAGCGGGUCAUGCCGGGAACUUUAAGGAUACUGCCAGUGACAAACUGGAGGAAGGCGGGGACGACGUCAAGUCAUCAUGGCCCUUACGGCCAGGGCUACACACGUGCUACAAUGGUCGGUACAAAGGGUUGCUACCUCGCGAGAGGAUGCUAAUCUCAAAAAGCCGAUCGUAGUCCGGAUCGCAGUCUGCAACUCGACUGCGUGAAGUCGGAAUCGCUAGUAAUCGCGGAUCAGAAUGCCGCGGUGAAUACGUUCCCGGGCCUUGUACACACCGCCCGUCACACCAUGGGAGUUUGUUGCACCAGAAGUAGGUAGUCUAACCGCAAGGAGGACGCUUACCACGGUGUGGCCGAUGACUGGGGUGAAGUCGUAACAAGGUAGGCGUAGAUGA
This 531-nucleotide ribosomal RNA is filed under the name uncultured bacterium. RNAcentral's name for it is "bacterial SSU rRNA". It matches the Rfam family "Bacterial small subunit ribosomal RNA", at positions 977 to 1509 of the family's 1533-position model. The record is from RNAcentral.